This 370-nucleotide ribosomal RNA is filed under the name uncultured Prevotella sp. RNAcentral describes it as "bacterial SSU rRNA". It matches the Rfam family "Bacterial small subunit ribosomal RNA", at positions 428 to 796 of the family's 1533-position model. Lineage: Bacteria; Pseudomonadati; Bacteroidota; Bacteroidia; Bacteroidales; Prevotellaceae. The record is from RNAcentral.
AACUGCUUUUGUUGGGGAGUAAAGUGGGGCACGCGUGCCUUUUUGCAUUUACCCUUCGAAUAAGGACCGGCUAAUUCCGUGCCAGCAGCCGCGGUAAUACGGAAGGUCCAGGCGUUAUCCGGAUUUAUUGGGUUUAAAGGGAGUGUAGGCGGUCUGUUAAGCGUGUUGUGAAAUUUAGGUGCUCAACAUCUACCUUGCAGCGCGAACUGGCGGACUUGAGUGCACGCAACGUAUGCGGAAUUCAUGGUGUAGCGGUGAAAUGCUUAGAUAUCAUGACGAACUCCGAUUGCGAAGGCAGCGUACGGGAGUGUUACUGACGCUUAAGCUCGAAGGUGCGGGUAUCGAACAGGAUUAGAUACCCUGGUAGUCC